GAUGAACGCUGGCGGUGUGCCUAAUACAUGCAAGUCGAACGGGCUCUUCGGAGCUAGUGGCGGACGGGUGAGUAACACGUUGGUACCUGCCCCAAAGUGGGGAAUAACUGCCCGAAAGGGUGGCUAAUACCGCAUAAUACCGUAAGGUUAAAGCAGAAAUGCGCUUUGGGAGGGGCCUGCGUCCCAUUAGCUUGUUGGUAGUGUAAUGGACUACCAAGGCUACGAUGGGUAGCUGGAUCGAGAGGUUGACCAGCCACACUGGGACUGAGAUACGGCCCAGACUCCUACGGGAGGCAGCAGUAAGGAAUCUUCCACAAUGGACGAAAGUCUGAUGGAGCAACACCGCGUGCAGGAUGACGGUCUUCGGAUUGUAAACUGCUUUUAUAUGGGAAG
This 393-nucleotide ribosomal RNA is filed under the name uncultured bacterium. RNAcentral's name for it is "bacterial SSU rRNA". It matches the Rfam family "Bacterial small subunit ribosomal RNA", at positions 28 to 447 of the family's 1533-position model. The record is from RNAcentral.